ACAGCAGUCGCCACGGUAAUACAGAGGGUGCGAGCGUUAAUCGGAUUUACUGGGCGUAAAGCGUGCGUAGGCGGCUUUUUAAGUCGGAUGUGAAAUCCCUGAGCUUAACUUAGGAAUUGCAUUCGAUACUGGGAAGCUAGAGUAUGGGAGAGGAUGGUAGAAUUCCAGGUGUAGCGGUGAAAUGCGUAGAGAUCUGGAGGAAUACCGAUGGCGAAGGCAGCCAUCUGGCCUAAUACUGACGCUGAGGUACGAAAGCAUGGGGAGCAAACAGGAUUAGAUACCCGAGUAGUCCCUGUCUCUUAUAA
Molecule: ribosomal RNA, 305 nt
Filed under: uncultured bacterium
Lineage: Bacteria
Description: partial 16S ribosomal RNA
Rfam family: Bacterial small subunit ribosomal RNA
Source: RNAcentral